AGCUGGAGGUGCUGAAGUCAGAGGCCAACAGGGAUGAGCAGUCUGCCAAACUCCCCAGCACCUCUUCUGGAAGGUUGACCCGGUCUGAGGAGGAGUGUCGUCGUCUGGAGACUGAGAUCUCUUGGCUGGAGG
This is a long non-coding RNA of Coregonus clupeaformis (lake whitefish), 132 nucleotides long. RefSeq lists it as uncharacterized. Lineage: Eukaryota; Metazoa; Chordata; Actinopteri; Salmoniformes; Salmonidae. The transcript is spliced from 3 exons. The record is from RefSeq and is a predicted model, not a curated record.